AAAUGAAUAGACGGGGGCCCGCACAAGCGGUGGAUUAUGUGGUUUAAUUCGAAGCAACGCGCAGAACCUUACCUGGGCUUGAACUCCCACGAACCUCGAGUAAUGUUGAGGGUGCCCUCACGGGAAUGUGGAGAGAGGCGCUGCAUGGCUGUCGUCAGUUCGUGUUGUGAAAUGUUGGGUUAAGUCUCGCAACGAGCGCAACCCCCGUUCUUAGUUGCUACUAUUAAGUUAAGCACUCUAGGAAGACUGCCUGGGUUAACCAGGAGGAAGGUGGGGAUGACGUCAAGUCCUCAUGGCCCUUAUGUCCAGGGCUACACACGUAAUACAAUGGUUGAUACAACGGGAUGCCAACUCGUAAGAGGGAGCUAAUCUCAAAAAAUCAAUCUCAGUCCGGAUUGGAGUCUGCAACUCGACUCCAUGAAGCUGGAAUCGCUAGUAAUCGCGGAUCAGCACGCCGCGGUGAAUACGUUCCCGGGCCUUGUACACACCGCCCGU
RNAcentral lists this ribosomal RNA (495 nucleotides) under uncultured bacterium. RNAcentral's name for it is "bacterial SSU rRNA". It matches the Rfam family "Bacterial small subunit ribosomal RNA", at positions 903 to 1397 of the family's 1533-position model. The record is from RNAcentral.